Mastomys coucha (southern multimammate mouse) is the source of this 268-nucleotide long non-coding RNA. RefSeq lists it as uncharacterized. The record is from RefSeq and is a predicted model, not a curated record. Lineage: Eukaryota; Metazoa; Chordata; Mammalia; Rodentia; Muridae. The transcript is spliced from 3 exons.
AAGACAUCCCCUUACAGGCUGAGUGCUCCCCCUGUUCUCCCAGGAAGACAUCCCCUUAAGGGCUGAGUGCUCCACAGUCACUGUCCAGCUGCUCCUCCAAGGUCUGGAGAUGAUAGGGAUGCCCACUUAGGGCUGGGCACUCAACAGUCGCUUACUCUCAGCCUUUGAUCCAUAGGAUGGCCACAUGCUGACAUGGCAAAGCUGAUCACAGCAAGGAUGGAACAGGAAGGGGCUCCUCUUGUGCAGUUAUCACAUCUGAGGAUCUGGU